GCCUGGUCUCCUGCUCGCACACGACAACUCCACCGAACCAGACCCAGGCCCACGUGAUGUGCGCGAUCCCGAGCCCCUCACUCCAAUCCGUGGAGACCAGGAGAAUCCCCUCGACCUUCUCGUCCGAUUCCCGAAAACGAAGCUCGAGUUCGUCCCCAGAAUAGAGCGAACGGACCCCACGGAUCUCCUCUGCCUGAAGCCGCUCCGAUGACGAGUUCACCGCCACCGGAGGGGACCACCCACCCGACCUCGUCCCGAAGAUCACCGUCGCCGCCCGAGCUCUAGCAGCACCGCAUAGCCACUGGAGGACGUGCUCGUCGCCACCAAGGACGCCAUCGAGCUGGUUGUUCCCCUCCGUGUCCAGGAGUAUCUACCCCGGGCACCGGAGCGCCCAUAUGCGUUGCCAUCAUUGUUUCCCGGACUGCCAUCGUGUUCUACUCCAAGUUCGACGCCCAGUUCCCCUAUUCACCGAUUUUAUACGAUGAGUGAGUGAUGCGAUGUAGGGUUACGAUGUCUAUACUCGACAUUUGCCUGUGGUGUUGAUGGACUUCAUGAAGAUUUUAUUUGCUUUUCCGUUGUAUUUUGUUUGUAUGCUAGCCUUGAGCUAUGGAGCUAUUGAUCCAGGGACUAGCACAAUGAGCACAUAGACAUCGAACCUUAUCAGGUUCGGGUCGUUACAAUUGGAUAAGGACGAGGUGACGAUGCGCGUCGGAAAUGUUUCCAAGGUCGAUGUGAUCGCCGUCGGCACGCUACCUCUACAUCUACCUUCAGGGUUAAUUUUAGAUCUGAAUAAUUGUUAUUUGG
Triticum urartu is the source of this 804-nucleotide long non-coding RNA. RefSeq lists it as uncharacterized. The record is from RefSeq and is a predicted model, not a curated record. NCBI's taxonomy places the organism in Eukaryota, Viridiplantae, Streptophyta, Magnoliopsida, Poales, Poaceae.